This 260-nucleotide ribosomal RNA is filed under the name uncultured Lactobacillus sp. RNAcentral's name for it is "partial 16S ribosomal RNA". It matches the Rfam family "Bacterial small subunit ribosomal RNA", at positions 103 to 354 of the family's 1533-position model. Lineage: Bacteria; Bacillati; Bacillota; Bacilli; Lactobacillales; Lactobacillaceae. The record is from RNAcentral.
UGGGUGAGUAACGCGUGGGUAACCUGCCCUUAAGUCUGGGAUACCAUUUGGAAACAGAUGCUAAUACCGGAUAAAAGCUACCUUCGCAUGAAAGAAGUUUAAAAGGCGGCGUAAGCUGUCGCUAAAGGAUGGACCUGCGAUGCAUUAGCUAGUUGGUAAGGUAACGGCUUACCAAGGCGAUGAUGCAUAGCCGAGUUGAGAGACUGAUCGGCCACAUUGGGACUGAGACACGGCCCAAACUCCUACGGGAGGCAGCAGGG